GUCAGCAGGCGACGCUGGGAGGCUGGGGUAGGCCCAGAGCGAGGACGGGCCCGGACUGGGUAGUGGGGAUGUACCAGGGCCGGGUGCGGCGGGAGACGGCCCGGGAGGCGGAAGGUCGCGGACCUGCCCGACAGAAGAGUAGAUGAGGGGAGACCGAGGACGCCCGGGUCCGGGGAGCUUACGAGGAGGCCAGGAUCGCGGGAUUGACAUACGUGGUGUCAGAAGUGAGACCUGAAGAAAAGUUCACUAUUGAAAGGAAUCAGCUAUGCUUGGAACCAGUUUGCAGAGUACUCACUUGAACUCUUUGAGCUCUCCACUUCCACAGCUUGCCUUUUCUGGCUUGGUGAGUCUUCUCUCAGGUUGAGCCUCCCUCCUUCAGGUAGAAGCUUUUUUACUUUAUUUGGGAUCUGGUGUGGAUAAGGCAAUCUUAAUAAAAGAUCUUGUGUACCUUCUGGGACUAUAAAAGGUUUUUUUGUGUGUGUCUUUUCUGGUAUAAAGAUAAGCAUCUUUCUGAAUUGAGGACUCUUGGUUUCUACAGAAUUUACAUUCUGUCUGUGAGGCAUGUCUUCCCUGGUUUGCAUGCCUAGUUUAAUAUUUCAUUUGUUCUGCACAACUGGGUUAAAAUGUUGGCAAAAACUCUUAUCUUGAUCUAUUUUUAUUUGGUUUGACUCUUUCUUCUUGCUUGUUUCUGAAAAUCUUCCAAGAGCCGAAACAAACUUUUUUUUUUUUUUUUUUUUUUUUUUUGAGAUGGAGUCUCACUCUUUCGCCCAGGCUAGAGUGCAGUGGCCAAUCUCGGCUCACUGCAAGCUCCGCCCCCUGGGUUCACACCACUCUCCUGCCUCAGCCUCCCGAGUAGCUGGGACUACAGGCACCUGCCACCGCACCUGGCUAAUUUUUUUUUUGUAUUUUUAGUAGAGACGGGGUUUCACCAUAUUGGCCAGGAUUGUCUCGAUCUCCUGACCUCAUGAUCUGCCUGCCUCGGCCUCCCAAAGUGCUGGGAUUACAGGCGUGAGCCACCGCGCCCGGCCAAACCAAAACAAACAUUCUUGGCGGUGGGUGCAGGACAGCUAAUUAAACAUCACUAGAGUGGUUGCCUCAGCUAAAACAAUAGUCUAAACUCCUGAUAUUCCCUGAAAGGAUUUGUAGAGUAUUCUUUGCUCUCAAGAAAUUAAUAAGAAAUGGAAUGAUCUUUUCAAACAUUAAGGCAGGCAAGGUUUUCUGGGACUCUCAGGCUGGUCUUGAGCCUCAAGCAAUACUCCCACCUCAGCCUCCCAAUGUGCUAGAAUUAUAGGCGUAAGUCAUCAUGCCUGGCCCCAUUUCUUAAGGUAAUUUUGUUUGAAGCUUUUCAGAUUUAUAUCUAAGAAGUUCAACUUUUGCUGUACUUCACUGUAUGAGAUGUGCAGAGCAUACAUCAUGGCCUCUGUUAUUUCUCUCCUUGAAAAGGUAUAUCUUUUUGCUUGGCUGGAGUGAUAACUCUGUCCUUCAACUGUUUCAUCAACUCCUAUAACAUUUUUUCUCUGGUUCCAACUCUGCUGUUGUGGCCUGACGCUGACAUGUUUGUCUUGAAGGUGUACAAAAGCAAUGUUUUUCUACAGAGUAACUUGAUUCUCUAGUCUUGGCUUUUCUUGAUGUGUCUGAAUUGUUCCAUGUAACCAGGAAACUCCCCAUGCUUUUUCUGAGAUCCAGCUAUUUUUCUAUUCAAUGUACUAGUUUUUUUGUUUAUAUUCCUUUAUAAUGUAGCGUACAUUCAAGAUGCUGGUCACAUUCUUCCUGUGUCUACUUAAUUCAAAUACCGUUUUCAUCAAGUUUAACUUCCAGGUUAUGUAAACAGGCUUCCCCUAAGGAGAAGCAAUUACACUGUAGGAAAUUUUUCUUUUCUUUUUUGGUAACUGGGCUUUAAAGAGACAAAACAAAGAUCUUAGUUUAGUUUAGCUUUUUGAGAUGGGGUCUUGCUCUGUCGACCAGGCUGGUUUUGAACUCCUGGCCUUAAAUGAUCCUUCCAUUUCAGCAAGACUUUACAUUUUAUCAAGAUAAUUCAUAUAUUAUCUUUAUUGGGUUUCAAUUAGCUGGAUAACUGAGCUUUUAAAGGGUUAGGUUUCUACAUCCAUGUAACUUUCUGUAUUGCUUUUGGUCUUUUUAUUAUUAUUUUGCUGUGAUUCUGUUUUAAUCGAAUGUUUUGAACCUUUUGACAUUAUUGGCCAAUUUCCCCAGGAUCAGAAUCCUAAGUCUUUUUGGCCCAAAAUUAACAUUGGGAUUUCUAGUUGGACCCCUGGGAAGCCUCAAAGAAUAUGUCUCUCAUCUUAUAGAGAUAGUAAAUGAUUCGGCUUAUUUGGCAAAUUGCAUAGGAGGCGUUGUGAAAUGACAAAUGAUACUAGAUAUUCUUUCAGUUACAUUAUGGGUAUAUUAUUAGUAUAAAUGUUCCAAAAAUUAUAUAAACAUAAAAAUUUAAUAUGUUAUUAGUCAUAAUUUUGAUUAUUGUGUUGAAACUUUUAAGUUAUAUUUAUAUGGAUAUGUUAUUAAUAUGAGUAUUAUAAAGAUUAUAUAAAAUUUGGUCAGAUGCGGUGGCUCACACCUGUAAUCUCAGCACUUUGGGAGGCUGAGGUGGGCAGAUCACCUGAGGUCAGGAGUUUGAGAUAAGCCUGGCCAACAUGAUGAAACCCCAUCUCUAUUAAAAAUAUGAAAAUUGGCCGGGUGCGGUGGCUCACGCCUGUAAUCCCAGCACUUUGGGAGGCCUAGGCGGGCAGAUCACGAGGUCAAGAGAUAGAGACCAUUCUGGCCAAUAUGGUGAAACCCCAUCUAUACUAAAAAUACAACAAAAAAAUUAGCCGGGUGUGGUGGCAGGCACCUGUAGUCCCAGCUACUCAGGAGGCUGAGGCAGGAGAAUGGCGUGAAGCCGGGAGGUGGAGCUUGCAGUGAGCCGAGAUCGCGCCACUGCACUCUGGCCUGGGCGAUAGAGCGAGACUCUGCCUCAAAAAAAAAAUAAAUGAAAAUGAAAAUUAGCCGAGUGUGGUGGCUGGUGCCUGUAAUCCCAGCUACUUGGGAGGCUGAGACAGGAGAAUCGCUUAAACCUAGGAGGCAGAGGUUGUAGUGAGCAGAGAUCGUGCCAUUGCACUCCAGCCUGGGUGACGAGAGUGAAACUCCAUCUCAAAAAAUAAUAAAAUAAAAUAAAAUGUAUAGGCUGGGAGUGGUGGCUCAUGCCUGUAAUCCCAGCACUUUGGGAGGCCAAGGCGGGCAGAUCACCUGAGGUUGGGAGUUUGAGACCAGCCUGGCCAACAUGAAACUCCAUCUCUACUAAAAAUACAAAAAUUAACCAAGCAUGGUGGUGCGUGCCUGUAAUCCCAGCUACUCGGGAGGCUGAGGCAAGAGAAUCGCUUGAACCCAGGUGGAGGAGGUGGCAGUGAGCCAAGAUCACUCCAUUACACUCCAGCCUGGGCGACAAGAACGAAACUGUUUCAAAAAAAAAAAAAAUUUAUAAAAGUCUAAUGGUCCUGAUAUGACACUGUCAGUCAUGAUACUGGGUUUUCUUUUCUUUUCUUUUCUUUUCUUUUCUUCUUUGAGAUGCAGCCUCGCCCUGUCACCCAGGCUGGAGUGCGAUGGCGCGAUCUCGGCUCACUGCAAACUCUGCCUCCUGGGUUCAAACGAUUCUCCUGCCUCAGCCUCCGGAGUAGCUGGGAUUACAGGUGUGCGCCAACAUGCCCAGCUAAUUUUUGUAUUUUUAGUAGAGACAGGGUUUCACCAUGUUGGCCAGGCAGGUCUGGAACCCCUGACCUCAGAUGAUCUGCCUGCCUUGUCCUCCCAAAUUGCUGGGAUCACAGGCAUGAGCCACCACUCCCUGCCUAACAAGUACUCUUGAACACAGAUUUCUGAUAACUUUAAGAUCAAUGAACUAAAUAAAAAUUUCCAGAACUCUAAUAAAGAAACGGAUGGGUUUGGCCAAGUGUGUUGGCUCACGCUUGUAAUCCCAGGACUUUGGGAGGCCAAGGCAGGCAGAUUGCUGGAGCCCAGGAGCUUGAGACCAGCCUGGGUAACAUGGCAAAACCUCGUCUCUCAAAAAAAUACAAAAAAUUAGCUAGGUAUGAUGGUGUGAGUUUCUAGUACCAGCUACUUGGAAGGCUGAGGUGGGAGAAUCACCUGAGCCUGUGAAGUUGAGGCUGCAGUGAGCCAUGAUUCCACCACUGCACUCGAGCCUGGGUGUUAGAGUGAAAACCUGUCUCAAAGAAUAAAAGAAGAAAAGAAACUGAUGGGUUUUAUGAAUCAAGCAAAAAGCAAAACAAGACAUCAAUUACAUGAAAUUUAAGUAGUUGAUAAAUACAAUGUUUUUAUGGCUUUUAUUUAAGACGUUGUUGGCUCUUUACUAAAAUGUUUUGUUUUUCAGAUUUAAGGAAUUCUUCUCUCAUAAGCUAUCUAUAGUUGACAGCAAUUUCUGUUUUUUUUAAUUAUACUUUAAGUUAUAGGGUACACAUGCACAACGUGCAGGUUUGUUACAUAUGUAUACAUGUGCCAUGUUGGUGUGCUGCACCCAUUAACUCGUCAUUUACAUUAGGUAUAUCUCCUAAUGCUAUCCCUCCCCCCUCCCCCCACCCCACGACAAGCCCCAGUGUGUGAUGUUCCCCACCCUGUGUCCAAGUGUUCUCACUGUUCAAUUCCUACCUAUGAGUGAGAACAUGCAGUGGUUGGUUUUCUAUCCUUGCGAUAGUUUGCUCAGAAUGAUAGUUUCCAGCUUCAUCCAUGUCCCUACAAAGGACGUGAACUCAUCCUUUUUUAUGGCUGCAUAGUAUUCCAUGGUGUAUAUGUGCCACAUUUUCUUAAUCCAGUCUAUCAUUGAUGGACAUUUGGGUUGGUUCCAAGUCUUUGCUAUUGUGAAUAGUGCCGCAAUAAACAUACGUGUGCAUGUGUCUUUAUAGCAGCAUGAUUUAUAAUCUUUGGGUGUAUACCCAGUAAUGGGAUGGCUAGGUCAAAUGGUAUUUCUAGUGUGGAAUUGUCACACUGUCUUCCACAAUGGUUGAACUAGUUUACAGUCCCACCAACAGUGUAAAAGUGAUCCUAUUUCUGCACAUCCUCUCCAGCACCUGUUAUUUCCUGACUUUUUAAUGAUCACCAUUCUAACUGGUAUGAGAUGGUAUCUCAUUGUGGUUUUGAUUUGCAUUUCUCUGAUGGCCUAUGAUGAUGAGCAUUUUUUUAUGUGUCUGUUGGCUGCAUAAAUGUCUUCUUUUGAGAAGUGUCUGUUCAUACCCUUUGCCCACUUUUUGAUGGGGUUGUUUGAUUUUUUCUUGUAAAUUUGUUUAAGUUCUUUGUAGAUUCUGGAUAUUAGCCUUUUGUCAGAUGGGUAGAUUGUAAAAAUUUUCUCCCAUUCUGUAGGUUGCCUUUUCACUCUGAUGGUAGUUUCUUUUGCUAUGCAGAAGCUCUUUAGUUUAAUUAGAUCCCAUUUGUCAAUUUUGCCUUUUGUUGCCAUUGCUUUUGGUGUUUUAGUCAUGAAGUCCUUGACUUUGUCUGUGGCCUGAAUUGUAUUGCCUAGGUUUUCUUCUAGGGUUUUUAUGGUUUUAGGUCUAACAUUUAAGCCUUUAAUCCAUCUUGAAUUAAUUUUUGUAUAAGGUGUAAGGAAGGGAUCCAGUUUCAGCUUUCUACAUAUGGCUAGCCAGUUUUCCCAGCAUCAUUUAUUAAAUAGGGAAUCCUUACCCCAUUUCUUGUUUUUGUCAGGUUUGUCAAAGAUCAGAUGGUUGUAGAUGUGUGGUGUUAUUUCUGAGGGCUCUGUUCGUUCCACUGGUCUAUAUCUCUGUUUUGGUACCAGUACCAUGCCGUUUUGGUUCCUGUAGCCUUGUAGUAUAGUUUGAAGUCAGGUAGUGUGAUGCCUCCAGCUUUGUUCUUUUGGCUUAGGAUUGACUUGGCAAUGCGGGCUCUUUUUUGGUUCCAUAUGAACUUUAAAGUAAUUUUUCCCACUUCUGUGAAGAAAAUCAUUGGUAGCUUGAUGGGGAUGGCAUUGAAUCUAUAAAUUACCUUGGGCAGUAUGGCCAUUUUCAUGAUAUUGAUUCUUCCUACCCAUGAGCAUGGAAUAUUCUUCCAUUUGUUUGUGUCCUCUUAUUUUUUUGAGCAGUGGUUUGUAGUUCUCCUUGAAGAGGUCCUUCACAUCCCUUGUAAGUUGGAUUCCUAGGUAUUUUAUUCUCUUUGAAGCAGUUGUGAAUGGGAGUUCACUCAUGAUUUGGCUCUCUGUUUGUCUGUUAUUGCUGUAUAGGAAUGCUUGUGAUUUUUGCACAUUGGAUCCUGAGACUUUGCUGAAGUUGUUUAUCAGCUUAAGGAGAUUUUGGGCUGAGACAAUGGGGUUUUCUAAAUAUACAAUCAUGUCAUCUGCAAACAGGGACAAUUUGCCUUCCUCUUUUUCUAAUUGAAUACCCUUUAUUUCUUUCUCCUGCCUGAUUGCCCUGGCCAGAACUUCCGACACUAUGUUGAAUAGGAGUGGUGAGAGAGGGCAUCCCUGUCUUGUGGCAGUUUUCAAAGGGAAUGCUUCCAGUUUUUGCCCCUUCAGUAUGAUAUUGGCUGUGGGUUUGUCAUAAAUAACUCUUAUUAUUUUGAGAUACGUUCCAUCAAUACCUAGUUUAUUGAGAGUUUUUAGCAUGAAGGGCUAUUGAAUUUUGUUGAAGGCCUUUUCUGCAUCUAUUGAGAUAAUCAUGUGUUUUUUGUCUUUGGUUCUGUUUAUAUGAUGGAUUACAUUUAUUGAUUUGGGUAUGUUGAACCAGCCUUGCAUCCCAGGGAUGAAGUCCACUUGAUCAUGGUGGAUAAGCUUUGUGAUGUGCUGCUGAAUUCGUUUUGCCAGUAUUUUAUUGAGGAUUUUUGCAUCAAUGUUCAUCAGGGAUAUUGGUCUAAAAUUAUCUUUUUUUGUUGUGUCUCUGCCCUGCUUUGGUAUCAGGAUGAUGCUGGCCUCAUAAAAUGAGUUAGGGAGGAUUCCCUCUUUUUCUAUUGAUUGGAAUAGUUUCAGAAGGAAUGGUACCAGCUCCUCUUUGUACCUCUGAUAGAAUUUGGCUGUGAAUCCAUCUGGUCCUGGACUUAUUUUGGUUGGUGGGCUAUUAAUUAUUGCCUCAAUUUCAGAGCCUGUUAUUGGUCUAUUCAGAGAUUCAACUUCUUCCUGGUUUAGUCUUGUGAGGGUGUAUGUGUCCAGGAAUUUAUCCAUGUCUUCUAGAUUUCCUAAUUUAUUUGCAUAGAGGUGUUUAUAGUAUUCUUUGAUGGUAGUUUGUAUUUCUGUGGGAUCAGUGGUGGUAUCCCCUUUAUCAUUUUUUAUUGUGAGUUGACAGCAAUUUCAUAAAGUGUCCUUUUUGAACAAAGAUGGAAGCAUUUGCUUUUUCUCCCUACUUGAUUCCUUCAAAAGUUGGAAACUAUUUGUGAGUAUUCUUAUUUUUAUUUUUACUUUAUUUUAUUAUUAUUAUUAUUAUUAUUUUGGAGAUGGAGUCUCACUCUGUUAUCUAGGCUGGUGUGCAGUGGCACCAUCUCGGCUCACUACCAUCUCUGCCUCCUGGGUUCAAGUGAUUAUCCCGACUCAGCUUCCUGAGUAGCUGAGAUUACAGACACGGACCAUCAUGCCCAGCUAAUGUUUGUAUUUUUAGUAGAGACGGGGUUUCACCACAUUCAUCAGGCUAGUCUUGAACUCAUGACCUCAGGUGAUCCACCUGCCUCAGCCUCCCAAAGUGCUGGGACUGCAGACGUGAGCCACCACACCCAGUGUUUUUUUUUUUUUUUGAGAUGGAGUCUCGGUCUGUCUCUGGAGUGCAGUGGUGCGAUCUCAGCUCACUGCAACCUCUACCUCCCAGGUUCAAGUGAUUCUCCUGCCGCAGCCUACCAAGUAGCCGGUAUUAUAUACAUGCGCCACCAUGCCUGGCUAAUUUUUGUAUUUUUAGUAGAGACAGGUUUCACAAUGUAGGCCAGGCUGUCUCAAACUCCCAACCUCAGGCGAUCUGCCCUCCUUGGCCUCCCAAAGUUCUGGGAUUACAGGUGUGAGCCACUGCACCCAGCUGUAUUCUUAUUUUUAUUUAAAUAAGUUCAAUAAAAAUCUGCUCUCUAUAUAAGGAGGAUACAAUUGGAACACUGGUUUUACUACCAAGGCUUUGACUGAAAUGUCUUAAAAAUGUACAUGAAAUGCCUGGCUUCAAGAAUUCCCAGCCUUAUAGUGAGUGAAUAAAAACAGUCACUUCCCAGCAGGCCCAAGAACAUUAUAAGUAAAAUCUAAAGUCUCCUUUGUUUGCCUUCCUCGCCUUAAGAAAUUUUUAAAUUGGCCAGGCGCCGUGGCUCACGCCUGUAAUCCCAGCACUUGGGGAGGCCGAGGCGGGUGGAUCACGAGGUCAGGAGAUCGAGACCAUCCAGGCUAACACGGUGAAAUCCCGUCUCUACUAAAAAUGCAAAAGAUUAGCCAGGCAUGGUGGCAGGCGCCUGUCAUCCCAGCUACUCAGGAGGCUGAGGCAGGAGAAUGGCGUGAACCCAGGAGGCGGAGCUUGCAGUAAGCCAAGAUCGCACCACUGUACUCCAGCCUGGGUAACACAGUGGGACUCCAUCUCAAAAAAAAAAAAAGAAAAGAAAUUUUUAAAUCUGAGAUUCAUGUAUGCUCAAUAUAGAGAUAAAAAUUUAUGUUUCUAAAGAGAAACUAUAAUACAUCUUUUGUUAUGUAGUAGCCCUGUGCCUUACUUCCAAGUUCUUGUUAUCUGCCUGUAGACUGGAGUAGGUCCUGAAGCCUCCUACUUUCUCCAAUAUUUGGCUGCAGCUUUCACCCUCAAAAUGAAAGCUGCUCUAUUCCUAAAGUCCUAUAAGCUAACAUUAGAUUAAUUUUAAGGAACAAGCCUCAUGCUUGGUGUGUGUGCCACGCAAAAAGUUCACCAAACUGCCCAAUGUCAUGACCAAAGACAUCCAAAUUACAAACCCAGAGAAGUUAAUGUUUUCACACUGUAAACAGCUUUUCCCAAGAUGUUGGAACAAGGCUCCAUGUCACAAUGAGAAUUUUAUCCUCCUUAAUGCUACCUUGUUUACUUCGCAGGAUAAUGGUGUAACAGAAACUUUGCCAUCAAUACCUUCUUGCUGGUAACUUAACAAACUCUAACCUAAAAAAAUCCUUUAGGAGCCAUUGAUUAAAUUUUUAAAAAGUCUGUGCUAUUGCUAAUACUACAUGCUGUAUCUAAGUAAAUUAUCUGGGAAAAUUGAGACCCAUGUACACAAAAUAAACAAUCAAGCCACGUAGUUACAACAGAUCUCACCUAAUUCUCUCUGGUCUUUGAUUUAUUCAGCUGUUUGUCUUAAAAAUAAUUAUUUCUAAUUGUUAUGAGUAAGUAAUAAUGUAUAUAUUUGUGGGGUACUUGUGAUGUUUUGAUACAGACACAAAAUGUGUAAUGACCAAAUUAGUGUAAUCAAGGUAACCAUCAGCUCAAGCAUUUGUCAUUUAUUUGUGUUAAGAAUAGUCCAAUUUGGCUGGGUGUGGUGGCUCACGCCUGUAAUCCGAGCACUUUGAGAGGCUGAGGCAGGCGUAUCACAAGGUCAAGAGAUGGAGACCAUCCUGGCCAACAUGGUGAAACCGUGUCUCUACUAAAAAUACAAAUAUUAGUUGGGUGUAGUGGCACAUGCCUGUAAUCCCAGCUACUCGGGAGGCUGAGGCAGGAGAAUAACUUGAACGCGGGAGGUGGAGGUUGCAGUGAGCUGAGAUCACAUCACUGCACUCCAGCCUGGUGACAGAGUGAGACUCUGUCUCAAAAAAGAAUAGAAAAGAAUAGUCCAAUUCCACUGUUUUAGUUAUUUUGAAAUAUACAAUAAAUUGUUGUUAACUAUAGUCAUCCGAUUUUGGUUCCAAAUACUGAUCUUAUUCAUUACAUACAACUGUAUUUUAGUGCCAUUAGCCAUCCCCACUUUAUCCCUGCCUCCUCACUACCCUUCCAAGCCUCUGGCAACCACCAUUCCACUCUUUAUCACCAUGAGAUUGAUUUUUUUUAGCUUCCACAGAUGAGUGAGAACAUGUGAUAUUUGUCUUUCUGUGCCCAGCUUAUUUCACUUAACAUGAUGUCUUCCAGUUCCAUCAAUGUUGUUGCAAAUGACAAUAUUUUGUUCUUUUUUGUGGCUGAAUAGUAUUCUACUGUAUGUAUAUGCAACACAUUUUCUUUAUCCAUUUGUAGUAGUCAGUCUUCUCUAGAGGGACAGAACUAAUAAAAUAUAUAUAUAUAUAUAUAAAGGGGAGUUUAUUAAGUAUUAACUUACAUGAUCACAGCGUUCCACAAUAGGCUCUCUGCAAGCUGAGGAGCAAGGAGAGCCAGUCCAAGUCCCAAAACUGAAGAACUUGGAGUCCAGUGUUCAAGGGCAGGAAGCAUCCAGCACGGGAGAAAGAUGUAGGCUGGGAGGCUAGGCCAGUCUCUCCUUUUCAUGUUUUUCUUCCUGGUUCAUAUUUGCUGGCAGCUGAUUAGACUGUGCCCACCAGAUUAAGGGUGAAUCUGCUUUCCCUAGCCCACUGACUCAAAUGUUAAUCUCUUUUGGCAACACCCUCGCAGAUACACCCAGGAUCAAUAUUUUGUAUCCUUCAAUCUGAAAAGUUGAUGCUCAGUAUUAACCAUCACAAGUCUACUCCUAGUCAACUUGAACUGAUACACAUCUCCUGAGAUCACACAUAGUCUUCAAAUAAAGACAAUAAUAAGGUCACAAUUACGCCUAACACAAUACAACUAUCCUUCGUACAACGGGAAACGUACCAAUCCCCAAAUACUAUUACAUAAAGUUAACAAUAUUUAAAUGCUGAUAUGAAGUCAAUAAAUCUUAUGUCACAUGAUAAAGGAAAAGGAAAUAAAAUAAAGAUAUUUUCUUAGUACAAGUUUAUACAUGCACAAACAUGUUUUCAGCAAAAGAAGAAGGAAAUACUCAUGACAAUUACAGUCCCUAUUUCUGCACCUAGUCACUUCGUCGUAGCUGGUAUUGAUGACUACCUUCUUCUACUAGCCAUUCUGUGUUCCCUUUGCCUUCAGCAAGCACCUCAGCAGGUUGUGGGUUUUUUCCUGGUGGAGUGACCCAAACCUUCAUUCCUGAGGGGUCUGGGCCAUUUGUAGUCCUGCCUGGAUUGGGCUGUUGUAGUUUUCCAUUGACCUUAAUCACAGGACAUGGUAAUACUAAGAGAUGUCCUAAUGGAUCUCCUGUAUUCCAUGCAUUCUCUUCCUUACCUCCAUUGUGAAGUAGUAGACUGAUUUCAUCUUGAUAGUCUGGGUCAAUCACCACAGCCAAAACUUUAACUCCCUUCUUAGCCUGUUGACUUAAAGGUAGGAGGAGCGCAAAGUGUCCAGGUGGCAAUCUUAACUUCCAGUUUAAUGGAAUCGUUGUUGUGUCUCCUGGUGGCAGUGUUUCUUCCUCUGGAACUAAGACCUCUAGGCCAGCAGAACAUAAUGUUCCAGGAGCAGGAAGCAAAAAUUUUGCUAGUGGAUCACUAGGGGUGAUGGUGAAUGGUGCCACUUCCACUCUCACCCCUUGAUUCCUGGACCCAUGAAUCCUGGCUAUGGGAGAAACAGUACCAUAUAUUGGAUGCUGAUUCAGAGCAUACAUGGUCUUCUGGAGAACUUUGCCCCAGCCCUGCAAAGUAUUGUCACCUAGUUGGCAUUGUAAUUGUGACUUCAAAAGGCCAUUCCACCGUUCUAUCAAUCCAGCUGCUUCAGGAUGAUGGGGAACAUGGUAAAACCAGUGAAUUCCAUUGAGCAUGAGCCCACUGGUUCCCUUCUUUAGCCGUAAAGUGAGUGCCUUGGUCAGAGGCAAUGUUGUGUGAAAUACCAUGACAGCGGAUAAGGCAUUCCAUGAGUCCACAGAUGGUAGUCUUGGCAGAAGCAUUGUGUGCAGGAUAGGCAAACCCAUAUCCGGAGAAAGUGUCUAUUCCAGUGAGGACAAACCUCUGCCUUUUCCAUGAUGAAAGAAGUCCAGUAUAAUCAACCUGCCACCAGGUAGCUUGCUGAUCACCCCGAGGAAUGGUGCCACAUAGAGGGCUCAGUGUUGGUCUCCGCUGCUGGCAAAUUGGGCACUCAGCAGUGGCCUUAGCUAGGUCAGCCUUGGUGAGUGGAAGUCCAUGUUGCUGAGCCCAGGUGUAACCUCCAUCCCUGCCACCAUGGCCACUUUGUUCAUGGGCCCAUUGGGUGAUGACAGGGGUGGCUGGGAAAAGAGGCUGAGUGGUGUCCACAGAACAGGUUACCCUAUCCACUUGAUUAUUAAAAUUCUCCUCUGGCCUAGUGCAGUGGUUCAUGCCUGAAAUCCCAGCACUUUGGGAGGCCGAGGCGGGUGGAUCACCUAAGGUCAGGAGUUCGAGAGCAGCCUGACCAACAAGGUGAAACCCCGUCACUACUAAAAACACAAAAAUUAACCGGGCGUGGUGGCAGGCGCCUGUAGUCCCAGCUACUCGGGAGGCUGAGACAGGAGAAUUGCUUGAACCCAGGAGGCAGAGGUUGCAGUGAGCUGAGAUUGCACCACUGCACUCCAGCCUGGGCGACCGAGCGAGACUCUGUCUCAAAAAAAAAAAAAUUAUCCUCUGCUGAGGUCACCUGUUGGUGAGUACUCACACAGGAUACAAAUAUCUUCACGAUUUUUGCCCACUCAGAGAGGUCCAUCCGCAUACCUCUUCCCCAAGUUUCUUUGUCAUCAAUUUUCCAAUCAACACUUCUUCCAAGUCCCUGACCAGCCAAACCAUUGGCUACAGCCCAUGAAUCAGUAUAUAAUUGGACAUCUGGCAAUUUCUCCUUCCAUGCAAAGUGCACAACCAGGUGCACUGCUCGAAGUUAUGCCCACUGGGAAGAUAUGCCUUUACCGUUGUCCUUCAGGGAUGUCCUACAAAGGGGCUGGAGUGCUGCAGCUGUCCACUUUCAGGUGGUGCCUGCAUAUUGUGCAGAACCAUCUGUGAGCCAGGCACUAGUCUUCUCCUCCUCUGUCAACUGAUCAUAGGGAACUCCUCAUGAGGCCAUUGGUGCAGGCUGGGGGCGAGAAGGCAGGGUGGCAGGAGUGGAGACCAUAGGCAUUUGAGCCACUUCCUCAUGUAACUUACUUGUGCCUUCAGGACCUGCUCGAGCCCUAUCUCGUAUAUACCACUUCUGUUUGAUGAUGGAAUGCUGCUGGUUGCACGACCCAGUUUAUAACUAGAUGGGUCAGAAAGCACCCAGUUCAUGAUAGGCAGUUCAGGUCACAGGGUGAGUUGAUGACUUAUAAUCAAACGUUCAAUUUGCACCAAAGCCCAGUAACAGGCCAAGAGCUGUCUCUCAAAAGGAGAGUGGUUAUCUGAAGAAGAUGGUAGGGCCUUGCUCCAAAAUCCUAGAGGCCUUCACUGUGAUUCACCUAUGGGGGCCUGCGAAACGCUCCAAACAGCAUCCCUAUCUGACACCGACCCCUCAAGCACCAUUGGAUCUGCUGGGUCAUAUGGCCCAAGUGGCAGAGCAGCUUGCACAGCAGCCUGGACCUGUGUGCUGAGAAGGCCUUGCAGAGCCUUCUCCUGUUCUGGAUCCCACUCAAACUGGCAGCCUUUCAGGUCACUCGAUAAAUGGGCCAGAGUAAUACACCCAAAUGAGUAAUGUGUUGCCUCCAAAAUCCAAAUAGACCCACUAGCCGUUGUGCCUCUUUCUUGGUUGUAGGAGGGGCCAAAUGCAGCAACUUGUCCGUCACCUUAGAAGGAAUAUCUUGACAGGCCCCACACCACUGUACCCCUAGAAAUUUUACUGAGGUAGAAGUUCCCUGAAUUUUACUUGGAUUUAUUUCCCAUCCUCUGGUAUGCAAAUGUCUCACUAAUAAGUCCAGUGUGUUUGCUACUUCUUGCUCACUGGAUCCAAUCAGCAUACUGUCAUCAAUGUAAUGGACUAGGGUGAUAUUUUGCAAAAGCAAAAAGUGAUCAAGAUCUCUUUGAAUCAAAGCUGGAGCAUUGAUGUACCCCUGAGGUAGGACAGUAAAGGUAUAUUGCUGGCCUUGCCAGCUAAAGGCAAAUUGCUUCUGGUGGGCCUUUUGGACAGGGAUUAAGAAAAAGGCAUUUGCCAAGUCAAUGCCUGCAUACCAGGUACUAGGAGGUGUGUUAAUUUGCUCAAGCAAUGAAACCACAUCUGGUACAGCAGCUGCAAUUGGAGUCACCACUUGGUUAAACUUAUGAUAAUUCACUGUCAUUCUCCAAGAUCCAUCUGUCUUCUGCACAGGCCAGAUGGGAGAGUUGAACAGGGAUGUGGUGGAAAUCACCACCCCUCCAUCUUUCAAGUCCUUGAUGGUGGCACUAAUCUCCGCAAUCCCUCCAGGGGAAAGAUACUGUUUUUGAUUUACUAUUUCUGUAGGUAGAGGCAGCUCUAAUGGCUUCCAUUUGGCCUUCCCGCUUAAUAGCCCUCACCCUACCAGUGAGGCAGCCAAUGUGGGAGUUCUGCCAGCUCCUAAGUAUAUCUAUGCCAAUGAUGCAUUCUGGCACUGGGGAAAUGACCACAGGAUGAGUCCAGGGGCCCACUGGACCCACUGUAAGUCAGACCUGAGCUAAAACUCCAUUAAUUACCUGACCUCCAUAAGCCCCUGCUUUAACUGGAGGACCACAAUGAUGUUUUGGGUCCCCUGGAAUCAACGUCAGCUCAGAGCCAGUGUCCAGUAUUCCCCCAAAUGUCUGAUCAUUUCCCUUUCCCUGAUGCACAGUUACCCUGGUAAAAGGCCAAAGGUCUCUUUGUGGAAGGAUGGGAGAAAGAUUCACUGCAUAAAUUGUUGGUAAUGGGCUGGACACAGUGGCUCACAUCUGUAAUCCCAGCAAUUUGGGAGGCAGAGGCGGGCGGAUCACCUGAUGUCAGGAGUUCAAGACCAGCCUGGCCAACAUGGUGAAACCCCGCUUCUACUAAAAAUACAAAAAUUAACCAGGCCUAGUGGCACACGCCUGUAAUCCCAGCUACUCAGGAGGCUGAGGCAGAAGAAUCGCUUGAACCUGGGAGGCGGAGUUUGCAGUGAGCCGAGAUCAUGCCAUUGCACUCCAGCCUGGGUGACAGAGCAAAACUCUAUCGCAAAAAAAAAAAAAAAAACAUUGUUGGUAAAGUAGUGGAGACCUUCCUCAAAGGGACCUGGCCUCCCCUUUAUUCAAGGAGCUCUGGGUUGUGAAUUGGCUCAAGUCUGGAAAUUGAUUGAGGAGCCGUGAUUCUCUGUUUUUAUAAUUCAAAUCAGUGUUUUGUCCAUUCAACCUAGACAUUUCCUGCUAGUGUAAAUUUAGUAGGAAUGGAGUAGGCUUCCUAUCAAUUUCACUUCUAGGAGCACCGUGAUUAAUUAGCCAAUGCCAGAGCUCUACACAAGUCAAACUAUUCUGAUUGCUGUUUUGCCUCUGCUGUCCAUUAUGGUAGCUAUGCCCACCUUGUCUUUGACAGUUGAGUGCCACCACUUGGCCCCUGUGACCUCAGAAUUCAGUUAUUUCCAUUGUAUUUAUUUUUUAUUUUUAUUUUUAUUUCUGAGACAGAGUCUUGGUUUAUCGCCCAGGCUGGAGUGCAGUGGCUCAAUCCUGGCUCACUACAACCUCCACCUCCCAGGUUCAAGCAAUUCUCCUGUCUCAGCUUCCCAGUAGCUAGGAUUACAGGCACCCGCCACCACGCCUGGCUAAUUUUUGUGUUUUUAGUAGAGAUGGGGUUUCACCAUGUUAGCCAGGCUGGUCUUGAACUCUUGACCUCAGGUGAUCCACCCACCUUGGCCUCCCAAAGUGCUGGGAUUACAGGCAUGAGCCAAACUGCCUGACCUAUUUCCAUUGUAUUUAAAUUUUGUAGUUGAGUGACUGUGGUUGCCACUCUUAGAUCUGACAUACAGAGAAGAGGAAUGACAGGGCUCUUCAAAGAUACAGGUGCUGCCCUCAGAAAUCUAUUUAGCAAGGCAUUGGUCAAGGCUAUAUCUUCUGGAUCCUCCCAGCUGGGAUGAGUAGGUCUAAAGUCACUAAUGCACUCCACCAUCCCAAUCUCCCUAAGCCAUUUGAUCCCUUCCUCUACAUUAAACCAAGGGAAAUCAGGCAUUUUAGCACACUCACAGUGGACCAUAUUUUAAUACAUAUUUCUGCUAACCAAGCAAGUAAACAAUUAGAACCUUUUUUAACUCCCCAAGCUGCAACAUUAAAAGCAGAGUCCUUACUUAGUGGGCCAAAUCAAUAAAUUCAGCCUGAUCCAAUUCUAUGUUUCUUCCACAAUUAUCCCAUAUCCUUAGUAUCCAUUCCACUGCCUGUUCUCCGGGUUUCUGUUUCUAUAAAUUAGAGAACUCAAACAGCUCCUUUCGAGUGUAGUGCACCUCCUCAUGGGUCACACUCUCAACCUCACAUCUAGGGGCCCACUAGGACUUUAGUCUCAUUAUAGGUCUUGAAGCAAACAGAGGUGUUGGGGGUAGCUCCUGAAGAGAAUCAACAUUAUCUUGCCUGGCAGCUGCCUCAGGGGAGGCCAUCGCUAUUGCCUCAGGCAGUGCAGGGUUUAUCUCCUUAGACAAAGGUGGAAAGGCUGAUGGCAGCAUGGGUCGAGGAGAGGAUGCUGCUACUACUGGGGAUGGGGAAGCUGUUCCUUCUGGCAAAAAACGUUCAUCAGAGUUUACAAACUCAGUGUCCCCGACUUCAUCAGGGUCCUCCCACAAAUCCACAUUCCAAGUUUCAGGGUCCCAGUCUUUUCCCAUGAAUGCCCUCACUUUAACAGUAGACACCUGGCAAAGCUGUACAUGUAUCUUUCAUUGGGGGUCAGCCACUCACAUGUUAAGAGCUUGUAUCUGUUUUUCCACAAUUUCAGUUUUCUCUACAGGAGAUACGACUCUCACUCAGGGCAAUCUUAGCAGAUUUGAGGCUCAGUAUCUGUUUCUGAAGCCAGGAGACAGAAUCCCUGAGUUUAUCAUUUUCUUUCAUCACUUUGUCCAUUGAACUUAGAAGCAACCAACCAGCUUCAUUAUGUUCCUUGGUUCUCCACAUAUGGUCAAAGAUAUUAUGUAUAGAGUCACUAAACUCUUUGCCUCUCAUGAGUGGUGAAUCAGGUGUGCCAAAUGCAUUUAUUUUGUAUAACUCUCUAAACAGUUCACACCAAGGACUAUCAGUGUUCUCCAUACUAUUAGAAGUAGAGUCCUUAGCAUUUUUGGGUCUAAUCAUAUUAAGCAGCCAAAUCCAGAAACCCCAAAAAUGAAAGAACUCCAUCCUUAACAUUCUGUUCCUCUAGAACCACUCCUGGUACCAAAAUCUGUAUUAGUCAGGGUUCUCUAGAGGGACAGAAUAGAAGAUACACACACACACACACACACACACACACACACACACACACACACACACGGGAGUUUAUUAAGUAUUAACUCACACGAUUACAAGGAAUCACAAUAGGCUGUCUGCAAGCAGAGGAGCAAGGAGAGACAGUCCGAGCCCCCACAAAUGAAGAACUUGGAGUCCAAUGUUCGUGGGCAGGAAGCAACCAGCAUGGAAGAAAGAUGUAGGCUGGGAGGCUAUCCUUUUCACGUUUUUCUGCCUGCUUUACAUUCGUUGGCAGCUGAUUAUAUUGGGCCCACCAGGUUAAGGGUGAAUCUGCCUUCCUCAGUCCACUGACUCAAAUGUUAGUAUCUUUUGACAACACCCUCACAGCCACACCCAAGAUCAAUACUUUGUAUCCUUCGAUCCAAUCAAGUUAACACUCAGUACUAACCAUUAUACCAUUCAUCCAUUGAUGGAAAAGCAGUUGAUUUCAACCUGAUUUGGGGUAUCUAAUUAUUAGGGUACUUGAUAUAAUAAAUUUUUAAAUGUAUCAGGAAGCUAAAGAACGAGUCAUGAAUAAACAAAAAAUAUUCAUUAUACCAUAUGGAUACCAUAGCAUAUUUCAUCCAUUCUAAAAUGUGGAUGAAAUAUGGGGAAAAAGUAGGGGAACCUCUACUUCUCAACUUAACAUCUGAAACUGGGAUCAGUUGUAUAACACUUGUUAGUAAUUGCCUCUGCAUGUGCAUCAUAACUUGCAGAAUGGCCGUCGCCCACUUGGCAGAAAUUUCUUGAGUCCAUAACAGAAUGCCCUUAAGAAAUACCUCAUCACCAACAUUCUUGAUGGUCAGAUGUUGAUAUUUGUUAAGGUCUUUAAAGAGUCUGAGAUUUUACCCUCCUCGCAAGCUAACAAGCUACCUGUUAAAUUGUGUGGAUCUAAGCAUGGGGUGGAUGCUGGCAGAAAACAUGAGACUCCAGGGGUUAGAGAAAAAAGGCUGCAUUUUUCAAGUCAAAAGCAAUAGGCAGAAUGUUCAGGUGAUGUUCAUGAGGUUUCCCAAGCCUCCCAAUUCCCACAGGGACAACACAGGUGGCCUAGAUGGACAAAUUGGGUUGUGUUACAGGAGAAAAAAGUUGAGCUGGGAGAUUUAUCAUUUUUACAGUGAGUGGCAAAUAGGCUGGCUCACUGUUGGGACAUUACCUCAGCAAACACCACCCUAAGAAAUAGCUAAGGAAGGAGUGGUCAGGGCCUUGCAUUCUUGGCAUACCCUGCAAGGGCGUGGGGCACUCAAGGUCAUGGUGUAGUCUUUCCCAUCAAUAUUGUGUUAGAAAACAGACAUCAGUAUCUGAAUUCAAAAAUGGUUUAGAAGAAUUAGUCUAUCAAUAUAAAAUUAUUUUUAAUAUACCUUAACUAAUUUAUUUAGUUUCUGUUUUCUUUUUAUGAAUGUACAACAAUAAUAUGAUAAAAAUCUAUCUUAAUAAUCUAAAGAACUCUUUCAAUAAAUGUAAAAUAAAAAUUCUUUUUUUUUUUUUUUUUUUGAGAUGGAGUCUCACUCUGUUGCCAGGCUGGAGUGCAGUGGCACGAUUUUGGCUCACUGCAACCUCUGCCUCUCAGGUUCAAGCGAUUCUCCCGACUCAGCCUCCUGAGUAGCUGGGACUAUAGGCACUUGCCACCACGCCCAGCUAAUUUUUUGUAUUUUUUGUAGAGACGGGGUUUCACCAGGUUGGCCAGGAUGGUCUCCAUCUCUUGACUUCGUGAUCCACCCGCCUCGGCCUCCCAAAGUGCUGGGAUUACAGGCGUGAGCCACCGCGCCCGGCCAAAAUAAAAAUUCUAAAUGACGAGAAUGAGAAUUCAUUGUCAGUUUAAGUUUAAUUGGCAACAUUUUUUCUUUCUUUUCUUUUCUUUUCUUUUCUUUUUUUUUUUUUUUGAGAUGGAGUCUCACUCUGUCACCCAGGGUGGAGUGCAGUGGCACAAUCUUGACUCACUGCAACCUCUGCCUCCCACGUUCAAGCGAUUCUCCUGUCUCAGCCUCCGGAGUAGCUGGGACUACAGGCGCCCACUACCACGCCCGGCUAAUUUUUGUAUUUUUAGUAAAGGCGGGGUUUCACCAUGUUGGUCCGACUGGUCUCAAACUCCUGAACUCAUGAUCCGUCUGCCUCAGCCUCCCAAGGUUCUGGGAUUACAGGCGUGAGCCACCGUGCCCGGCCUACAUUUUUUCUUUCUUGGUAAUUCAUAAACUGAUGGUGUCUUAAACUGAUGAUGUCUUGCAAUUGAUGACAUUUGAGACUAGAUUAAAUAUUUAAUGUUUCUCAUUAUUAUGUAUGCGAUUUAUCUCACUGUAAUUUCUAAUUUUUAUUGUUGGAAUGUGGCAAUACAGUUUAGUCAAUUUACCUUGCAGUUUUGCUAGUUCUCUUAUUCUAUUAUUUUAUCAAAUUGUUUUUGGUAGUUCACUUGGUUUUUCAAAAUAUGCAAUCAUGUUGCCUUCAUAUGGAAAUAUUGUUUACAUUUUUACUUGACCAGCCUGGGUAACGUGGUGAAACCCCAUCUUAAAUACAAAAAAAAAAAAAAAAAAAUUAACCAGACAUGGUGGCAUGUGCCUGUAGUGCCAGCUACUCAGGAAGCUGAGGUGAGAGGAUCACUUGAGCCUGGGAGGUUGAGGCUACAAUAAGCCCUGAUUGCACCACUGCACUCCAGCCUGGGUGACAGAGUGAGACACUGUAAACAAACAAACAAACAAACAAACAAACAAAUACCAGCAUCUGCAUUAUUGUGUUCACUGGAAAUGGUGUGGUUGUAUAGACUCUAGCCCUUUCUCUUCAGUAUAUGAAUUAACAGAACAAAUACACUGGCAAAAAUAGUAACUGUGAUAAAAUGUGAAAACAAUGUAUAAUUUGAUUUGCAAAAUUCUAUAACUUGUAAAAGAUGGUGUUGCCAUAGUCUGGAUAUUAAAUCUUGUUUUUAAACACAUGGAAUUUAGGAAUUAAUGUGAAUUUAAAUCACUCCCUAUAAGUGAUAUAAUCAUAUAAUUAUGUCCUUUUGUCUCCAUUUAGGUGACCUAGUACAUUAAUAAUUUUAAAAUUAUAUCAAAUUAUCUUUCAUUAUACAAUAUGUAUCUUAAUCUGCUCAGCAAACAAUUGGUAAGUCUCCAAUUACUUGUAGACUACUUGUUAGACUGGGAAACUGAUACAAAGGUAAACAAGACACAGUGUUUCCCCUUUAAAAAAAAAGUCAUAGGCCAGGUGUGGUGGGUCCCCUCUGUAAUCCCAACACUUUGGGAGGCCGAGGCAGGUGGAUCAGGAGGUCAGUGGCCGGUUCCUGCCUUAACUGAUGACAUUACCUUGUGACAUUCCUUCUCCUGGACAAUGAAUAUCAGAAGCUCCCCACCGAGCACCUUGUAACCCCCGCCCCUGCCAGCAAGAGAACAACCCCCUUUAACUGUAAUUUUCCACUACCUACCCAAAUCCUAUAAAACUGCCUCACCCUUGUCUAUCUCCCUUUGCUGACUCCUUUUUUGGACUCAGUCCGCCUGCACCCAGGCGAUUAAAAAGCUUUAUUGCUCACACAAAGCCUGUUUGAUGGUCUCUCUCCACAUGGACGUGUGUGACAGGAGUUCAAAACCAGCCUAGCCAACAUGUUGAAAUCCCAUUGCUACUAAAAAUACAAAAAUUAGCCAGGCAUGGUGGUGGGCACCUGUAAUCCCAGCUACUCAGGAGGCUGAGACAGGAGAAUUGCUUGAACCUGGGAGGCAGAGGUUGCAGUGAGCCAAGAUCAUGCCACUGCACUCCAGGCUGGGCAACAAAGAGUGAAACUCAGUCUCAAAAAAAAAAAAAAAGUUGUAUGUUUAAAUGCUUGAGCAUUUAAAUAUUAGACAUUAAGUGAUUCAUAAUAAUUCAGUCAAAUAGUGUUUAGUUUUUUAUUUCUACAUUUUAAUAGUAAAAUGUAUAUGUACAGAAGUAUAUAUAAAAUAUGUAUGUAAAGUUAAUAAAAUAUGGAGUAAACAUCAUGAAAAUACCACCGAGGUCAAGAAAGAGAAGAUUGCUAGCUUUCUCUUUCUCAGAGAAGAUUGCUAGCUUGUCGUGCUCCUUGGAGGUAAGCAUUUAGACUUUUUUUUUUUUUUUUGACACAAUCUCACUCUGUCACCAAGGCUGGAAUGCAGUGGUGUCAUCAUAGCUCAUUGCAGCCUUGACCUCCCUGGCUCAAGUGAUCCUCCCACCUCAGCCUCCCAAGUUGCUGGGAUACCACCAGGUGGCUAAUUUUUUUUUUUUUUAAAUAAAGGUAGGGCCCAGGCUAUGUUGCCCAGGCUAGUCUCAAACUGCUAGGCUCAAGUGAGCCUCCUGCUGUGGCCUCCCAAAUUGCUGGGAUUACAGACAUGAGCCACUGUACCUGGCCCAUUAGACCAAAUUUUAUGAUAUCUUUUGUUUCUCUAUGGUUUUUGCCAAUUAUGUAUACAUAUCUAAACAAUAUGGGGCAGGGUUAUUAUUAUUAUUUUUGCUCUGUUUGAAAUGUGAGUAAAUGGAGUCGUAGUGCAGAUACUCUUUUUGUUACUUAAUUAUUUCACUUAACAUAUUGUUGCUUAUCAUGCCAUGGUUGUCCAUUGCAUGAAUACACCACAGUUUAUUAUUUAUUCAUCUAAUUAUGGAAAUUUUUAUUGUUUCCAGUUUGGGGCUAGUAUGAGUGAAGCUGCUCUGAACGUUAUUGUGCAAGUUUUUCUGUGGACGUAGGUUUUUAUUUCUCUUGAGUAACUAUCGAGGAGCAAAUCACUAGGGAUUUCUGAGUUACAUGAAUACAUGGUUAACUUUAAAAGAAACUGCCAAACCGUUUUUUUUCCUUUUUUUUUUUUUUUGAGAUGGAGUUCCACUCUUGUUGCCCAAGCUGGAGUGCAAUGGCGUGAUCUCAGCUCACUGCAAUUUCCACCUUCCUGGUUCAAGCGAUUCUCCUGCCUCAGCCUCCCAAGUAGCUGGGAUUACAGGCACACACCACCACUCCUGGCUAAUUUUUUUUAUAUUAUUAGUAAAGACAGGGUUUCAUCAUGUUGACCAGGCUGGUCUUGAACUCCUGACCACAGGUGAUCCGCCCACUUCGACCUCCUGAAGUGCUGGGAUUACAGGCGUGAGCCACUGUGUCAGACCUAAACCGUUUUCCAAAUUGGCUGUACUAUUAUUUUGUAUUCAAACUAACAACAUAUGAGUUCCAGUUACUCCACAUCCUUGCCAAUGCUAGAAAUGGCCAAUCUUUUUAAUUUGAGUAACUUGUGGAUGUGUAGUCACACAUCUUAUUAUACUUUCAAUUUGCCUUUCUCUACUGAGUAACAAUGUUGACCAUUUUCUCAGUGCUUAUUGCCAUCCAUGUAUCUUCUUGGACAAAGUAGCCAAAUCUUUUGCCCAUUUUUUUUUGGAAGGGUAGGGGCUGUCUCCUUAUUGAAUUGUGAGAUUAUUAUAAAUAUAUUAUGUAUUAUUAUUAUUUUUGAGACUGAGUCUAGCUCUUUUGCCCAGGCUGGAGUGCAGUGGAGUGAUCUCCACUCACUGCAGCGAUUCUCCUGCCUCAGCCUCCUGAGUAGCUGGGACUACAGGCGCCCACCACCGCGCCCAGCCAAUUUUUGUAUUCUUAGUAGAGACAGGGUUUCACCAUGUUGGCCGGGCUGUGCUUGGACUCCUGACCUCAAGUGAUCUGCCCACCUCAGCCUUCCAAAGUGCUGAAAUUAUAGAUGUGAACCACAGUGCCCGGCCAGUAUUAUAUAUAUUUUAGAUACAACUACUUUAUAUCUAUAGUUUGUAAAUAUUUUAUUCCAGUUUGUAGUUUGCCUUUUCAGUUUCUUUCGAAGAGCGGAUGUUUUUCAUUUUGACAAAAUCCAAUUUAGCAACUUUUUCCUGAUUAAAGUUUUUGUGUUCUGAGAAAUCUGCCUGGCUGGGUGCAGUGGCUCAUGCCUGUAAUCCCAGCACUUUGGGAGGCCGAGGUGGGUGGAUCAUCUGAGGUCAGGGGUUCGAGACCAGCCUGGUCAACAUGGUGAAACCCUGUCUCUACUAAUAAUACAAAAAAAUUAGCCGUGCAUGGUGGCGCAUGCCUGUAAUCCCAGCUACUCGGGAGGCUGAAGCAGGAGAAUCGCUUGAACCCAGAAGGUGGAGGUUGCAGUGAGCUGAGACCACGCCACUGCUCUCCAUUCUGGGUGAUAGAUCGAGACUCUGUCUCCAAAAAAAAAAAAAAGAAAGAAAGAAAGAAGGCUAGGCUCCGUGCCUCACACCUGUAAUCCCAGCACUUUGGAAGGCCGAGGCAGAUGAUCACCUGAGGUCAGGAGUUUGAGACCAGCUUGAUGAAUGUGGUGAAACCCUGUCUCUACUAAAAAAUACAAAAUUAGCUGGGUGUGGUGGCGCAUGCCUGUAAUCCCAGCUACUUGGGAGGCUAAGGCUGGAGAAUCGCUUGAACCCAGGAGGCGGAGGUUGUGGUGAGCCAAGAUUGUGCCAUUGCACUCCAGCCUGGGCAAGAAGAGCAAAAUUCCGUCUCAAAAAAAAAAAAGAAAGAAAGAAAGAAAUCUGCUCCAACCUGAGGUCAAAAGGAUUUUUCUCCACCAUUUUCCCAUUUUCUUUCAGACAUUUUGUAGCAUAAGCUCUUAUAUUUAGGUCUAUGAUGCAUAUCAAAUUAAUUUUCACAUAUGGUGUGAGGUAAGUGUUGAGGCUAAUUUUUUUCCAUUUGGAUACUCAAUUGUUCCAGCACCAUUUGUUGAUAAGACUAUUCUCUCCCACAGUGAAUUAGCUUCGCAUCUUUGCUGAAAAUUGAUUGUCCGUAUAUGUAUAUAUCUAAUCUGUAUUUAUUCUAUUCCAUUUAUAUUUAUAUCCUUACAUCAAUACAUUAUCAUUAUUACUGUAGCUUUAUAAUAAAAUAUUGAAAUUCACGGUAUAUGUUCUUCAAUUUUAUUCUUUUUCUAAAAUUUUUUUUGGCUAUUCUAGUACUUCUCAUUUCCAUUUAAAUUUUUAAAUCUGCUUGUAAAUUCUAAUUUUAGGACAUUUGUUGGAAAUUUGAUUGGGCUUGCAUUGAAUCAGAACAUCAAUUUGAUGAGAAUCAAUGUUAAUAAACUCAGUGUUUCAACUCAUAAACACAGUAUAUAUAUAUAUUUUGAGAUGGAGUCUUGCUCUGUCUCCAGGCUGGAGUGCAGUGGCACAAUCUCAGCUCACUACAAUCUCCACCUCCUAGGUUCAAGCAAUUCCCCUGCCUCGCACUCCUGAGCUCAAACAAUCCUUCACCUUAGCCUCCCAAAGUGCUGGGGUUACAGGCAUAAACAACUGUACCUGGCCUUCAUGCUACUUUAUUUUUUACGAAUAUAUAUAUAUAUAUACAUUUCUUGAGACAGAGUUUUGCUCCUGUUGCCCAGGCUGGAGUGCAAUGGCAUGAUCUCGGCUCACUGCAACCUCUGCCUCCCGGGUUCAAGUGAUUCUCCUGCCUCAGCCUCCUGAAUAGUUGGGAUUACAGGCACGUGCCACCAUGCCUGGCUAAUUUUGUAUUUUUAGUAGAGAUGGGGUUUCACCAUGUUGGCCAGCCUGGUCUCAAACUCCUGACCUCAGGUGUUCUGCCCACCUCAGCCUCCCAAUGUGCUGGGAUUACAGGAGGGAGCCAUCAUGCCUAGCCCUUGAUGCCACUUUAAAUCAUUAUUUUAUAAAUUUUUAUUAAUUGUUGGUGGUACAUGGAAUUAUAAUUGAUUUUUGUACAUUGACCUUAUAUCCUGCAACGUUGCUAAACUUUGUCCUAGUAGUUCUGCUUACUGGUUAUAGUAUUUUCUGUAUAUUCUAUAGGAUUUUCUACAUAGACAAUCAUGUCUGUCAAUGAAGACACAUUUACUGGCCGGGCGCAGUGGCUCACGCCUGUAAUCCCAGCACUUUGGGAGGCCGAGGCAGCCAGAUCAUGAGGUCAGGAGUUCGAGACCAUCCUGGCUAACAUGGUGAAAUGCUGUCUCUACUCAAAAUACAAAAAGCUAGCAGGGCAUGGUGGCACACGCCUGUAGUCCCAGCUACUCGGGAGGCUGAGUCAGGAGAAUCGCUUGAACCCAGAAGGCAAAGGUUGCAGUGAGCUGAGAUCAUGCCGCUGCACUCCAUCCUGGGUGACAGAGCGAUACUCUGUCUCAAAAAAAAAAAAAAAAAAAAGACAUUUACUUAAGCUUUUCUAAACCAUAUGUCUUACAUUUCUUGUUUGCCAUAUUGUACUGGUCAGGACCUUCAAUACCGUAUUGAAUAGAAGUGGUGAACAGAGACAUUCCUUUUUAGCAUAUUUGAGACAUUUACUCUUUCACCAUGUGCUGAGACCAGCUUGAUCGGGGAGACCCUAACCCAGCGGCGCUAGAGGAAUUAAAGACACACACACACAGAAAUAUAGAGGUGUGAAGUGGGAAAUCAGGGGUCUCACAGCCUUCAGAGCUGAGAGCCUUGAACAGAGAUUUACCCACAUAUUUUUUAACAGCAAGCCAGUCAUUAGCAUUGUUUCUAUAGAUAUUAAAUUAACUAAAAGUAUCCCUUAUGGGAAACGAAGGAAUGGGCCAGAUUAAAGGAAUAGGUUGGGCUAGUUAACUGCAGCAGGAGCAUGUCCUUAAGGCACAGAUCGCUCAUGCUAUAGUUUGUGGCUUAAGAAUGCCUUUAAGUGGUUUUCCGCCCUGGGCAGGCCAGGUGUUCCUUGCCUUCAUUCUGGUAAACCCACAACCUUCCAGGGUGGGUGUUAUGGCCAUCAUGAACAUGUCACAGUGCUGCAGAGAUUUUGUUUAUGGCCAGUUUUGGGGCCAGUUUAUGGCCAGAUUUUGGGGGCCUUGUUCCCAACAACCAUGAAGUUUGAUUUUAGCUGAAUGUUUUCCAUAGGUGUCAUUUAUCAGGCUAAGUUCCCUUUUAUUCCUAGGUUGCCGAGAGCUUGAUUAUGAUGUGUCCAUGGUGGUUUUGUCUAUUCUGCUCUGGGUUCAUUGAGUUUCCUGGAUCUGUAAGCUUAUAGUUUUCAUCAAAGCACAGUAAGUGAAUGGUAUGCAAUGCAGGUGGACUGAGGUGCCUACUAUAUCUGAUGUGCAUAGCUGAGAUCACAUGUAUGCCCAGCAUCCAAUUCUUUAGGAAAGCAUUUCUUUCCUAUUCCAUAUGGUUUGCAUGACCACUAUGCCCCAAGACUAGUCCAUGACUCAAGCUGGACUCGUUGAUCAGAGCCCUUCCUAGGACUUCUCUGUUAACUGUAUCUCCAGGUUAGAGCUAACAGGAUGUAACACUGCCCAUACUCUCCCAGGAGUCACAGGUAGACAAAUUGCAAGAGCAGAGUGACAUGAAAAGAGAGGAACUGAGCUAGAGAAGGCCCUGAAAAUAUUGAGGCUGGGGAUGUAGUCAGGUGGAAGUUGCCUAUACAUGGACAUUUUAGUUUUGAGGGCCAAUAAAUUAUUCUUUUGCUAAAACUAACAUGAGACUUUUGUUAUUUUUAUUUUUGCUCAACUAAAAUGCAGUGCUUAUAAUGCCACACUAGGAAUCUGUAAUUUCUUGAGGAAAAAGGUAGGAGUAUAUUUAGAGUUACAUUUUUUUUUUUUGAGACAGAGUCUUGCUCUGUCACCCAAGCUGGAGUGCAGUGGUGUGAUCUUGGCUCAGUGCAACCUCUGCCUCCCAGGUUCAAGCAAUUCUUCUGACUCAGCCUCCCGAGUAGCUGGGAUUACAGGUGCCCACCACCAUGCCUGGCUAAUUUUUGUGUUUUUUAGUACAGAUGGGGUUUCACCAUUUUGGUCAGGCUGGUCUCGAACUCCUGACCUAACGAUUCACCCCCCCUUGGCCUCCCAAAGUGCUGGGAUUACAGGCAUGAGCCACCAUACCUGGCUACAUUUUUUAAAGGAAUAUAAAACUACUUCUUGACCACUGUUCACCAGUAUUCACAAUAAACAAUAUACAAUUGGAAUAACACUCUGACUACUACAAAAUUAUUUUUCCUGGCUUCUGGUGAACCAGUAAAAUGAAUAUAGAAAAGAGUGUAAGGGAUGAGCAGGGAUAAAGAAAAAACAUCCAGAUCAAUAGUUUAAGAUAAAGCUUUGUUCUUCCAGGUCCUAAACUGCAACCAUCUCUAACCAUCUGAUUAGGUUUCCAUGAACCAAGCCUCAGAUCGUCCAUGAAUCAUGACCAUUGAGUCAACAUAGCACAGGGAUUUCAACUUUUUGUAAAGAAAAUGUUCACGAGGUGAAUCUUUACAUGUUCAUUUUAGUCUUGUUUAAAACACACCAGGCUUUGUCUAGUUUCCUCUUCUGGGUGGGGAGGUUGUUGGCAGUGAUAAAAUUUUUCCUUUCAGGAAUUCUGUAAAUAAACCGUUAUGUUUAUGACUACAUGUAUAGAUUCUGAUUAGGUGCUGUAUUAGUCCAUACUCACACUGCUGAUAAAGACAUACCUGAGAUGGGGCAAUUUACAAAAGAAAGAGGUUUAAUGGACUUGCAGUUCCAAGUGGCUGGGGAGGCCUCACAAUCGUGGUGGAAGGCAAGGAGGAGCAAGUCACAUCAUACGACGAUGGCAGCAGGCAAAGAGAGAGCUUGUUCAGGGGAGCUCCUCUUUAUAAAAUCAUCACCUCUCAUGAGACUUAUUCACUAUCACAAGAACAGUACAGGAAAGACUUGCCCCUAUGAUUCAAUUACCUCACGCUGGGUCCCUCUCACAACACAUGGGAAUUCAAGACAAGAUUUGGGUGGGGAAACAGCCAAAUCAUAUCAUUCCACCCCUGGCUCCUCCUAAAUCUUAUGUCCUCACAUUUCAAAACCAAUCUUGCCUUCCCAACAGUCCCCCAAAGUCUUGACUCAUUUCAGCAUUAACUCAAAAGUCCACAGUCCAAAGUCUUGUCUGAGACAAGGUAAGUCCCUUCCAGCUAUGAGCCUGUAAAAUCAAAAGCAAGUUAGUUACUUCCUAGAUACAAUGGGGGUACAAGCAUUGGGUAAAUACAGAUUCCAAAUGGGAGAAAUUGGCCAAAACAAAGGGACUACAGGCCCCAUCCAAGUCAAAAUCCAGCAGGGCAAUCAAAUCUUUUUUUUUUUUUUUUUUUUUGAGACAGAGUCUCACUCUGCCUAGAAUGCAAUGGGCGAUCUCGGCUCAGUGCAACCUCCACCUGCCAGGUUCAAGCAAUUCUACUGCCUCAGCCUCACAAGCAGCUGGGAUUAGAGGCACAUGCCACCAGACCCAGCUAAUUUUUUGUAUUUUUAGUAGGGACGGGGUUUCACCAUGCUGGCCAGGCUGGUCUCAAACUCCUGACCUCAAGUGAUCCACCCACCUCUGCCUCCCAAAGUGCUGGGAUUACAGGCAUGAGCCACUGCGCCAGGCUGGGCAGUCAAAUCUUAAAGCUCCAAAAUGAUCUCCUUUGACUUCAUGUCUCACAUCUGGGUAACACUGAUGCAAGAGGUGAGUUCCCAUGGUCUUGGACAGCUUCACCUGUGGUUCUGCAGGGUAGAGCUUCCCUCCCGGCUGCCUUCAUGAGCUGGCAUUGAGUGUCUGCGGCUUUACCAGGUGCACGGUGCAAGCUGUCAGUGGAUCUACCAUUCUGAGGUCUGGAGGACAGUGGCCCUCUUCUCACAGCUCCACUAGGCAGUGCUCCAGUAGGGACUCUAUGUGGGGGCUGCAGCUCCACAUUUCCCUUCUGCACUGCCCUAGCAGAGGUUCUCCAUGACAGCCCCGCCCCUGCAGCAAACUUCUGCCUGGGCAUCCAGGCAUUUCCAUACAACUUCUGAAAUCUAGCCGAAGGUUUCCAAACCUCAAUUAUUGACUUCUGUGCACCCGCAGGCUCAACACCAUGUGGAAGCUACCAAGGCUUGGGGAUUGUACCCUCUGAAGCCACAGCCCAAGCUGUACUUUGGCCCCUUUUCAUCAUGAGUGGAGCGGCCAGGACACAGGGCACCAAGUCCCUAGACUACAUACAGCAUGAGAACCCUGGGCUGGGACCAUGAAACCAUUUUUUCCUCCUAGGCCUCUGGGCCUGUGAUGGGUGGGGCUGCCGUGAAGACCUCUAACAUGCCCUGGAGACAUGUGAUUAACAUUCAUCUCCUGGUUACUUAUCCAAAUUUCUGCAGCCAGCUUGAAUUUCUCCUCAGAAAAUGUGGGAAAGUUAAAAGCUACUUAGAGACUUGUUGAAUGGCUUUGCCCAAAAUGCUGAUAGCGAUAUGGACAAUAAGGUCCAGGCUGACCUAGUCUCAGAUGUAAAUGAGGAACUUGUUGGGAAUUGGAGCAAAGAUGACAAAGAUAACUCUUGUUAUGUUUUAGUGAGGAGACUGGUGGCAUUUUGCCCCUGCUCUAGAAAUUUGUGGAACCUUGAACUUGAGAGAGAUGAUUUAGGGUAUCUGUCUUCUUCUAAGCCCUCCAAACUGUCCCAAACUCUGUGUGUUACCCAGUUCCAAAGGUGCUUCCACAUUUUCAGAUAUAUUUUCAGCAAUGCCCCACUCUACUGGUACCAAUUUACUAUAUUAGUCAAUUUUCAUGUUGCUGAUAGACAUACCCUGGCUCACACCUGUAAUCCCAGCACUUUGGGAGGCAAAGGUGGGUGGAUCACAAGGUCAGGAGUUCGAGACCAGCCAGGCUAAUAUGGUGAAACUGCCCCCCGCCCCCGUCUCUGCUACAAAAAUUAGCCUGGCAUGCUGGUGAGGACUUGUAGUCCCAACUACUCAGGAGGCUGAGGCAGGAUAAUUGCUUGAACCCAGGAGGCGGAGGGUGCAGUGAGCCAAGAUCAUGCUCUGGGCGACAGAAUACCCGAGACUGGGUAAUUUAUACAGGAAAGAGGGUUUAAUGGACUUACAGUUACACGUGGCUGGGGAGGCCUCUUAAUCAUGGUGGAAAGCAAGGAAGAACAAGUCAUGCCUUACCUGAAUGGCAGCAGGCAUAGAAAGAGUUUGUGCAGGGGAACUCCUCUUUAUAAAACCAUCGGAUCUCAGGAGAUUAAUUUACUAUCUUAACAGCACAGGAAAGACUUGCCCCCAUGAUUCAAUUACCUCCCACUGGGUCCCUCCCACAACACAUGAGAAUUCAAGAUGAGAUUUGGGUGGGGACAUAGCCAAACCAUAUCAGGUGCUUUUAAAAUAUCCAAUUUGGCUGGGCAUGCUGGCUCAUGCCUGUAAUCCCAGCACUUUGGGAGGCCAAGGCAGGAGGAUCACUUGAGGUCAACAGUUCAACACCAGCCUGGCCAACAUGGUGAAACCCCGUCUCUACUAAAAAUACAAAAAUCGGCCAGGUGUGGUGGUGCAUGCCUGUAGUCCCCGCUACUCAGGAGGCUGAGGCAGGAGAAUCGCUUGAACC
RNAcentral lists this long non-coding RNA (30388 nucleotides) under Homo sapiens (human). RNAcentral describes it as "non-protein coding lnc-WDR70-5:4". The record is from RNAcentral. Lineage: Eukaryota; Metazoa; Chordata; Mammalia; Primates; Hominidae.